UCUACCGCCGCCCUUUCCAUCCUUAAUUUCCUCCGCCGACCCCGUCUCAUCUCCGCCGCCGGCACCGCGCCCGCCGUCCACGCGCAUCCGCCGUCCACGGCUCACCGCCGUUUGCCGCUCCCCUCUGCUGCCGCGUCCGUCGACGCCGCACCCGCGCGGUCCAAGCCGUACACCGUCCGCUGGAAGCAGCCACCCCACCGGCCCU
RNAcentral lists this long non-coding RNA (205 nucleotides) under Elaeis guineensis (African oil palm). RNAcentral's name for it is "long non-coding RNA (EGUI_LNC078711)". The record is from RNAcentral. Lineage: Eukaryota; Viridiplantae; Streptophyta; Magnoliopsida; Arecales; Arecaceae.